Molecule: ribosomal RNA, 1780 nt
Filed under: Pinus taeda (loblolly pine)
Lineage: Eukaryota; Viridiplantae; Streptophyta; Pinopsida; Pinales; Pinaceae
Description: SSU rRNA
Rfam family: Eukaryotic small subunit ribosomal RNA
Source: RNAcentral
UAACCACCAUCUAGCAUUAUGACUUAGGAACAAAUGUAAAAUGUAAACCUUGACAUAAGCUUGACACAUGGAAAUAAUGUGUGAUGUGGGACCACUGAUGGGCAAGAAUGGAGUGUUGACCCUAUUUGACCAUACCAACAAGACUCUUUGCUAGAUCUUAGACACUAAAGCAACCAUGGAAAGACUAGACCAAGACUAACACCAAUCCUUUGGAAUAGAACUGAUGCUCCGAAUUUAGAAAUCAUUUCUUAAGUGAUAACACUAGUGAUUCUUCAUUCAAAUUUCUUCCCUAUCAACUUUCAAUGGUAGGAUAGUGGCCUACCAUGGUGGUGAUAGGUGACAGAGAAUUAGGGUUCAAUUCUAGAGAGGGAGCCUGAGAAAUGACUACCACAUCCAAGGAAGGCAGUAGACAUACAAAUUACCUAAUCCUAACAUGGGGAGGUAGUGACAAUAAAUAACAAUACUUGGCUCAUCGAGUCCGGCAAUUGGAAUGAGUACAAUCUAAACCCCUUAAUGAGGAUCCAUUGGAGGGCAAGUCUAGUGCCAACGGCUUUGGUAAUUCUAGCUCCAAUAGUGUAUGUUUAAGUUGUUGUAGUUAAAAAUCUUGUAGUUGGAUCUUGGGUCAUAAAGGUUAGUCCACCUACUUGGUGUGCACCUGCCCUUCCGUCCCUUUUCUUGGUAGCAUGCUCCUAGCCAUAAUUGGCUGGGUCGCAGCUCUGAUACCCUUACUUUGAAAAAAUUAGAGUGCUCAAAGCAAUCUUAUGCUUUGAAUAUAUUAGCAUGGAAUAACAUGAUAGGAGUUUGGUCCUAUUAUGUUGGCCUUUAGGAUUGGAGUAAUGAUUAAUAGGGACUGUUGGGGGAAUUUGCAUUUCAUUAUCGGAGGUGAAAUUCUUGGAUUUAUGAAAGAUGGACCACUGUGAAAGAAUUUUCUAGGGAUGUUUUCAUUAAUCAAGAAUGAAAGUUGGGGGCUCGAAGGCAAUCAGAUCUCAUCCUAGUCUUAACCAUAAAUGAUGUUGACCAGGGAUCAGUUGAUGUUGCUCUAAGGACUCUGCCAACACCUUCUGAGAAAUCAGAGUGUUUGGGUUUUAGGGGGAGUAUGGUCGCAAGGCUAAAACUUAAAGGAACUGAUGGAAGGGCACCACCAAGAGUGGAUCCUGCAUCUUAAUUUGACUCAACACAAGGAAACUUACCCGGUCCAGACAUAGUAAGGAUUGAUAUAUUGAGAUCUCUUUCUUGAUUCUAUGGGUGGUGGUGCAUGGCUCUUCUUAGUUGGUGGAGGGAUCUAUCUAUUUAAUUCCAAUAAUGAACGAGACCUCAGCCUGCUAACUUACUACCCAAAGGUUCCCCUUUGCAACCAGCUUCUUAGAGGGACUAUGGCAGCUUACGCCAUGGAAGUUUGAGGAAAUAAUAGGUAUGUGAUGCCCUCAGAUGUUCUAGGAUGCAUACGCAAUAUACUGAUGUAGCUAAUGAGUUUCUCUUCCUGGUUUAAGAGGAUCGGGAAAUCUUAUCAAAUUUCAUUGUGAUGGGGAUAAACCAUUGUAAUUAUUAGCCUUCAAUGAGGAAUUCAUAGUAAGCAUCUAUCAUCAACUUGUGUUGACUAUGUCCCUACCCUUUGUACACACUGCCUGUCACUCCUAUCAAAUGAAUGAUCUGGUGAAGUGUUCAGAUUGUGUCAGCGAUGGUGGUUUGUUGCCAUUGACAACAUGAGAAGUUCGUUGAACCUUAUCAUUUAGAGGAAGGAGAAUUCAUAACUAGGUUACUGUAGGUGAACCUACGGUAG